AGAGUUUGAUCCUGGCUCAGGAUGAACGUUGGCGGCGUGCUUAACACAUGCAAGUCGAACGCAGAUAGCAAUAUUUGAGUGGCGCACGGGUGAGUAACACGUAGCUUACCUACCCUGAAGAGUGGGAUAACGUUCCGAAAGGGAUGCUAAUACCGCAUAAGCUUCCGAGUUCUAGAGACUUGGGAGAAAACGGGGAAACUCGCUUCAGGAGGGGGCUGCGGCCCAUCAGCUAGUUGGUGAGGUAAAGGCUUACCAAGGCGACGACGGGUAGGGGACCUGAGAGGGUGACCCCCCACACUGGGACUGAGACACGGCCCAGACUCCUACGGGAGGCAGCAGUGAGGGAUAUUGCACAAUGGGCGCAAGCCUGAUGCAGCGACGCCGCGUGGAUGAUGAAGGCUUUCGGGUCGUAAGAUCCUUUUGCGCGUGACGAGAGAUAGGACGGUAGCGCGCGAAUAAGUCUCGGCUAACUACGUGCCAGCAGCCGCGGUAAAACGUAGGAGACAAACGUUAUCCGGAGUUACUGGGCGUAAAGGGCGUGCAGGCGGCUUGAUAAGUUCGGCGUGAAAUUUCCCGGCUUAACCGGGGGAUGUCGUCGGAGACUGUCGAGCUAGAGGGUGAUAGAGGCGUGUGGAAUUCCGGGUGUAGUGGUGAAAUGCGUAGAGAUCCGGAGGAACACCAGUGGCGAAGGCAACACGCUGGGUCAUACCUGACGCUAAAACGCGACAGCAUGGGGAGCGAACGGGAUUAGAAACCCCGGUAGUCCAUGCCGUAAACGAUGCCAACUCGGUGUUUGGUCCGGGGAACCGGACUGGGUACCCAAGCAAACGCGGUAAGUUGGCCGCCUGGGGAGUACGGUCGCAAGAUUAAAACUCAAAGGAAUUGACGGGGGCCCGCACAAGCAGCGGAGCGUGUGGUUUAAUUCGAGGCUACACGAAGAACCUUACCUGGGUUUGACAUGCUAGUAGUAGGGAACUGAAAAGGGACCGACCGCAAGGAGCUAGCACAGGUGCUGCAUGGCUGUCGUCAGCUCGUGCCGUGAGGUGUUCGGUUAAGUCCGCAAACGAGCGCAACCCUCGGCGUUAGUUACACGUGUCUAACGCGACUGCCCGUGAGAAACGGGAGGAAGGUGGGGAUGACGUCAAGUCAGCAUGGCCUUUAUAUCCAGGGCUACACACACGCUACAAUGGGCGGUACAGAGGGUCGCGAAGCCGCGAGGUGGAGCCAAUCCAGAAAGCCGUUCGUAGUUCGAAUUGCAGGCUGCAACUCGCCUGCAUGAAGUCGGAGUUGCUAGUAACCGCGCGUCAGCUAUAGCGCGGUGAAUACGUUCCCGGGCCUUGUACACACCGCCCGUCACGUCAUGGGAGCUGGUCACGCCUGAAGUCGGGAAGCGAACCGCAAGGAGGCUACCGCCGAGGGCAGGGCUGGUGACUGGGACGAAGUCGUAACAAGGUA
Molecule: ribosomal RNA, 1455 nt
Filed under: metagenome
Description: bacterial SSU rRNA
Rfam family: Bacterial small subunit ribosomal RNA
Source: RNAcentral